CCUACGGGAGGCAGCAGUGAGGAAUAUUGGUCAAUGGCCGGAAGGCUGAACCAGCCAUGCCGCGUGAAGGUCAGUGCCCUAUGGGCGGUAAACUUCUUUUGUGCGGGAGCAAUAAUGGUCACGUGUGGCCAGACGAGAGUACCGUACGAAUAAGCAUCGGCUAACCCCGUGCCAGGAGCCGCGGUAAUACGGGGGAUGCAAGCGUUAUCCGGAUUUGAUGGGUUGAAAGGGUGCGUAGGCGGUGAGGUAAGUCAGCGGUGAAAUGCCCCCGCUUAACGGGGUGAAGUGCCAUUGAUACUGCCUGGCUGGAGUGCGAAUGGGGUGAGAGGAAUGUGUGGUGUAGCGGUGAAAUGCAUAGAUAUCA
This 364-nucleotide ribosomal RNA is filed under the name uncultured bacterium. Its description in RNAcentral is "partial 16S ribosomal RNA". It matches the Rfam family "Bacterial small subunit ribosomal RNA", at positions 338 to 699 of the family's 1533-position model. The record is from RNAcentral.